Molecule: small RNA, 407 nt
Filed under: Pan troglodytes (chimpanzee)
Lineage: Eukaryota; Metazoa; Chordata; Mammalia; Primates; Hominidae
Description: retained intron
Source: RNAcentral
GAAUGAGAGACUCCCUGGCUUCUGUCUUCAAGGGCUUUUCCUUAAUGAACCCCAACUCUGCCACUCAGAUCUCAGUGAAUAUCUUCCGGACUCUGCCGCCCAGUGAGAACCCUGAAUUUGACCCUGAAGAGGAUGAGCCCAAUCUUGAGCCUUCGUGGCCACACCUGCAGCUGGUAUAUGAGUUUUUCCUGCGUUUCUUGGAGAGCCCAGACUUCCAGCCCUCCGUGGCCAAGAGAUAUGUGGAUCAAAAGUUUGUCCUGAUGCUCCUGGAGCUAUUUGAUAGCGAGGAUCCCCGGGAGCGUGAGUACCUCAAGACCAUCCUGCACCGGGUCUAUGGCAAGUUCCUGGGUCUCCGGGCCUACAUCCGCAAACAGUGCAACCACAUCUUCCUCCGGUUCAUCUAUGAA